UACGGAGGGUGCAAGCGUUAUCCGGAUUCACUGGGUUUAAAGGGUGCGUAGGCGGACAGGUAAGUCAGUGGUGAAGUCUCUGGGCUUAACCCAGAAACUGCCGUUGAUACUGCUUAGCUUGAAUCAAGUAGAGGUGGAUGGAAUAUUACAUGUAGCGGUGAAAUGCUUAGAUAUGUAAUAGAACACCGAUUGCGAAGGCAGUUCACUAUGCUUGUAUUGACACUGAGGCACGAAAGCGUGGGGAUCAAACAGG
Molecule: ribosomal RNA, 253 nt
Filed under: uncultured bacterium
Lineage: Bacteria
Description: partial 16S ribosomal RNA
Rfam family: Bacterial small subunit ribosomal RNA
Source: RNAcentral